UGGCAUAAACCCGGGAGGCGGAGCUUGCAGUGAGCUGAGAUCCGGCCACUGCACUCAGCCCGGGAGACAGAGCGAGACUCCGUCUCAAAAAAAAAAAAAAAAAAAAAAAAACAAUGGUACUAGAGGUAAGAUCUGCCAAGAAUUUCUCUCACUUAAGCAGAAUACUUACUUUAAAUAUAAUUAGGCAAGACUUAAUUUGAGUACUUGCCUAAUUAUAUUUAAUUAGAACUACGCUAGACACUGUAGACAGAAGAAAUAAAACACCCCACCUGGUCCUUACCUUUCAGCAGGUUGAAGGCCUUUAGGGAAGAAAAGCCCAUGUGCAGGGAAAGAGAAUGUCACCAGAAAGCAUUCAAUAAAAUGCCAAAGUGAUCUUACAGAACAGUGCCUGUGACACCGGAGGGGACUGUUCUGUCUUUGUGAGUGAACAUACAAUGAUGGGGAUAACUGGUCCUUCACACCAUGCAGGUCCCAUUUCUGAUCACCCCACUGGCAGAACCAUUCACAGUUCUUGAGCAAACUGAGUUAGGGAGGGUAUGCUAAAGACAGAACCUAUGCAAGUUCUUAGAAAUAGUUUUUGUUUGCUGAAAUAAAGCUCCGUCAACACACUACAUGAAAAAAAGUGGAGCAGUGGCAUUUCCAUGCCUCACGCUCACCAUCACGAGGCUCACUUCCCGCCGUCGCCUCUUGCCUGCCAGGGGUGUUUCGGGAGCCCUCUCUGUUCCACCCUUUGGCUUCUUUGCUGACCGUUCACUCUCUGUCUGUUGUUGGAUCCAAAUAGGAGUGUUUUUCUUUUGUGGUGAAUGCUUUUUUCCUUCUUGAAAUUGUUUUAAUGUGUUUUGUCAAAAGCAUUUAACCAUGUUAUGAUUUAAGAAUUCUUUGUUCACUUGAGGUCAGGAGUUCAAGACCAGCCUGGCCAACAUGGCGAAACUCUGUCUCUACUAAAAAUACAAAAAUGAGCCCAGCAUCCCCUGAACAAAUGACCAUCUGGAGGAGAAGGACCUCCCUGUACUUAGAGCCUGAUACAAAGCCCAAGUUGACCUACGGGGCAGCUCUCUGGGCCUGGAAGGAAGAGCACAUGACAAGGCUUCAACAGUAAAGUCUGGCUAGGUCCAGGCAGACCAUGACUUCUGAAGGCAACAGCAUGGUCCACAUGGAAUUAGGCUGCUGAAGAACAGCAGCGAGAGGCUGCCUCUGAAUCACAUCUGCAGGGUCACCUGGGCCUGGUGGAGGCCCACAGUCACCCAUUAGGCCCCAGUAUCCUAUGUGGGAGUAUCCAUGUCUAGUCUCUACUUCUCACUGCAGGAGAGGUGGCAAAUGAGGAAGUUUCCUACUUUAAAGCAGGUAGAAGUUGUUUCCUUUCUUCCCUCCUCACAGCCUGGAGGGGGAGGUUGUGCCCAGCCUGAUAGCAGCUGCCUUGCCCAAGAUUACAUCCUGUUCUGGGGGCAGCCCACCUCCAAACCAAGUCACUGGUGGGGUACAAAGGCCUGCCUUGCCUGCCAAAAGGACAGUGCUGAUGGACCAUUCCAGUUCUAGAGUUCCCAAAGAGACAUCUUUUUGGAGAGGGGCGGGGUAGCAGAAAUCCUUCACGCAGGCUAUAGCAGGGCCUCCAGUUAUAAGUAACUUGAGUCCCACCCAGCCAAACAUGCCUUUCCGGGUCUAGUGCUGGGUUCCAGAACAGGAAACCUGGCAAAUCCCUAUUGCCACAGGUUUUUUUACUAUUAUUACUGUUACCUUAUUUUUCUAUUGGUGGAACCCCCUCUAGGGCUUCCACCAGAUUCUCCACCGUUUAUGCUAUCAUUCUUAUCAGUUUUGGUUUUACGGUUUCAGUGCUUCUUUUUGCUAACGGUAGCAGCCAAUAUACAUCAUCUCUGGCGACAGAUCAUGCCAUAGAAAAUAUUGUCGUUUUCCUCAUUUUUCUUAACGCCACGGUCAGCUGGGCUGUAGUACCAGCCCGGAUGUACCAGUUUACUCAGCCAUUCCCCCUCUCAUGGACAUCUGCAUGGUUUCCAGUCUUGCAAAUUUACAUAGUGCCACUACAAAUAAAAGCUUGCGCAUAUGCUGUUU
This is a long non-coding RNA of Rhinopithecus roxellana (golden snub-nosed monkey), 2067 nucleotides long. RefSeq lists it as uncharacterized. The transcript has 2 exons. NCBI's taxonomy places the organism in Eukaryota, Metazoa, Chordata, Mammalia, Primates, Cercopithecidae. The record is from RefSeq and is a predicted model, not a curated record.